This 1701-nucleotide ribosomal RNA is filed under the name Triticum aestivum (bread wheat). RNAcentral describes it as "partial small subunit ribosomal RNA". Lineage: Eukaryota; Viridiplantae; Streptophyta; Magnoliopsida; Poales; Poaceae. The record is from RNAcentral.
UUGGGUAACGAGGGAGUGGCGUUUUUUGUCGAUUAGAGCGAGUUAACUAAAGUGUCUCGAACUGGGUCGAAUAUGGCAUACCCCCAGAGACCGACGUCGUUGUUGUUGCCGUUCUGCGACCACGAGGACCGGACGAAGGAGGAGGACGACCGCAAAAGGGGCAAAGACGUACCUCAGCCCACGAAGCGGCGGCGCCUUCGCUGCUCAGGCCUCCUUCGGCGGCUCGUCUGCGACUACCAACCCUCGUGCGGCCGCGACCUCUGCCGCCGCGGCGUCGUCGUAGCCGUACCGGUCCCAAGCCCGCGCAGACGGUAGAGCUCGUUACGACGGCCACCAGAGACCAGCCGGCUCGAGUUCGGCUGGCACCGAGCGUCCAACGGCGGCCUUCCUCGACACCUACCUCGGCCGGUAAGCACGCCGAGGUCGCCAGCGGUCCCGACGUGGGGCAGGGGCCUAGCGCGAUCGCGUCCUGUCCUGUUAUUGUGGCUGGCAUCACCGUUCCUUCAGUUCCGACUCCUUAGAAACGUGUGUACGUAGCUUGCAGUUAAUCUUUGACCUUAGUACCUUACCGUGCCUCCUACGUAGCGUGGGGGCCGGGCGAGGUAGCGAGUAGCGUCCGCAACGGCUUUCGAUCCACCGCCGAUAACCGGCCGGUGCAAACUAGGCCGGAAGUCUCCCCGAGGUGAGGAACGACCAACGUGGUGUGCCACGAAGCUGACGCCCUCCCCCUAUGCGUAUAUGUGCGUCUACGAGGGAGCGUACCAGCCAGAAACGAGGUCGGUGUGCUAUGUGGUCAAAGCCUCUUGUAUGGUCGAGCCGCACGUAAAAUUAACCGUCGAUCGAUCAUGAGGAUGGUCAGGGCUUUGAGUGAUGGGCGACAAGGCAGUCGCCACACUUGGCUUCUUCGAACACACGAGGACACGUUACGGGGGCUCAGGGGCUGGUGGUCGGGUCACGGGUAACAUAUAUGAAUGAAACGUUCGAUCAUCGGAUGAUCAUCCUCUACGUAGUGAAAAUGUCGAGUCGCUUAGGAACUAUGAGGAUAAGAUGACAUCUCACAUGAUGAACAUAUGAGGAGCGUUUUUCCAGGUGCACAAUGCUCAUCAUACCUCUCAUGUCUUGGUACGUGGCUGUCCACCACGCACGUACAAACAGUACGGCUUGCCUGUGCCGGCCGGCCUCCUCUGUGCGCAUCAAAGGUCGGUCUGAAACGACGAGAUACGAGUUCUGCUACUAUGAUGAUACGAGUACACGAAGCAGUGUACGAGCCACUUUUGACACAUGCACCCCGCGAAAGGAGCGGUAACGGGUCCGUAAAGCCAGAUAGAAGAAAUGUCGAGAAUGCCGAGCUCUGGUAGAGGGGCCCUCGGCGUCUACCGGCCCCAGGGCAGAGGCUGCUACCAAGUGCCGCGGCGGCUUGGUGCGAGGGCGCUUCUGUCCCGCUGGUUUCAGGCCGGGGGCUGCCUCUUCCCACGCUGACCAGUACUACCUCGUUUGCGACUACCACCACCACUACCACAACACAGCAGCCUCGUCUCCUUCCCAAGUCCCGGCGGCCACGACGUCUGCCGUAACCCUUCCUACGACCCAAGCUUCGACCGCGCCGCUCACGACCCUCCCCUCUACCUCCUGAGACGCCGGCCCGGCAGCACGGUGAGGUUGUUGCGCGUGUAGUGGACACGUGGCGGCCGUGUCGUGACU